Dromiciops gliroides (monito del monte) is the source of this 107-nucleotide small nuclear RNA. The record is from RefSeq and is a predicted model, not a curated record. Lineage: Eukaryota; Metazoa; Chordata; Mammalia; Microbiotheria; Microbiotheriidae.
GUGCUCGCUUCGGCAGCACAUACACUAAAAUUGGAAUGAUACAGAGAAGAUUAGCAUGGCCCCUGAGCAAGGAUGACAUGCAAAUUCGUGAAGAAAAAAAGAUUAUC